RNAcentral lists this ribosomal RNA (256 nucleotides) under uncultured bacterium. RNAcentral's name for it is "partial 16S ribosomal RNA". It matches the Rfam family "Bacterial small subunit ribosomal RNA", at positions 524 to 776 of the family's 1533-position model. The record is from RNAcentral.
GACGAACCGUGCGAACGUUUGUUCGGAAUCACUGGGCGUAAAGGGUGCGUAGGCGGGUCUUUAAGUCAGGGGUGAAAUCCCUGGAGCUCAACUCCAGAACUGCCUUUGAUACUGAGGAUCUUGAGUUCGGGAGAGGUGAGUGGAACUGCGAGUGUAGAGGUGAAAUUCGUAGAUAUUCGCAAGAACACCAGUGGCGAAGGCGGCUCGCUGGGACGGUACUGACGCUGAGGCGCGAAAGCGUGGGGAGCCGAACAGG